AAUUGGUAGAUUUGCAUUUUACAAAGUGGCUAAAACAGCCUAGCCUUUCAAUUUAACAAUAUUUGAAGUUUGUUUUUCUUUAAAAAAAAAAAAAAAAAAAAAGAGUAAUAUUGUUUUCUCUCAUUUUGUAGCUGUCGGUCUUGUGGAACUAGAAAAUCUUUUUGCAAAAUAACUGUGAACAAGUCAUGAACUGCUGAUAGAAUGGGAAAUGACAAUCAUUAGAUAAAUUAGUCCUGUAAUGGAUGGAUCUUCAUGCACAUGAAAGUUCAUAUUGCAGCGGAAGUACUGCAAGUGCUCCUCUGACUCAUUGAUGCAAGGUUUGCAAAUAACGUAAGCACAAGAGACAUGGUUUUGUAGCAACUGCUUGCCACCAUGACUGAGAAUGUGGACAUGUCAUCGAUACAUCAGUGAGGAGUGUCUUUCAGGUAAUCUUUUAUAGUGCUGCCAAGUAACUCUGCUCAUUAUG
RNAcentral lists this long non-coding RNA (466 nucleotides) under Phasianus colchicus (ring-necked pheasant). Its description in RNAcentral is "lncRNA (ENSPCLG00000010842.1)". The record is from RNAcentral. Lineage: Eukaryota; Metazoa; Chordata; Aves; Galliformes; Phasianidae.